RNAcentral lists this ribosomal RNA (750 nucleotides) under uncultured bacterium. Its description in RNAcentral is "bacterial SSU rRNA". It matches the Rfam family "Bacterial small subunit ribosomal RNA", at positions 43 to 842 of the family's 1533-position model. The record is from RNAcentral.
CAGGCCUAACACAUGCAAGUCGAACGGUCCUUCGGGAUAGUGGCGGACGGGUGAGUAACACGUGGGAACGUACCCUUAGGUUCGGAACAACACAGGGAAACUUGUGCUAAUACCGGAUGAGCCCUUCGGGGGAAAGAUUUAUCGCCUUUGGAGCGGCCCGCGUCUGAUUAGCUAGUUGGUGAGGUAAUGGCUCACCAAGGCGACGAUCAGUAGCUGGUCUGAGAGGAUGGCCAGCCACACUGGGACUGAGGCACGGCCCAGACUCCUACGGGAGGCAGCAGUGGGGAAUCUUGCGCAAUGGGCGAAAGCCUGACGCAGCCAUGCCGCGUGGAUGAUGAAGGUCUUAGGAUUGUAAAAUUCUUUCACCGGGGACGAUAAUGACGGUACCCGGAGAAGAAGCCCCGGCUAACUUCGUGCCAGCAGCCGCGGUAAUACGAAGGGGGCUAGCGUUGCUCGGAAUUACUGGGCGUAAAGGGCGCGUAGGCGGACAGUUAAGUUGGGGGUGAAAGCCCGGGGCUCAGCCUCGGAAUUGCCUUCAAUACUGGCUGUCUUGAGUACGGGAGAGGUGAGUGGAACUCCGAGUGUAGAGGUGAAAUUCGUAGAUAUUCGGAAGAACACCAGUGGCGAAGGCGACUCACUGGCCCGUUACUGACGCUGAGGCGCGAAAGCGUGGGGAGCAAACAGGAUUAGAUACCCUGGUAGUCCACGCCGUAAACGAUGAGUGCUAGUUGUCGGCAUGCAUGCAUGUCG